UACGUAGGGUGCAAGCGUUAUCCGGAAUUAUUGGGCGUAAAGAGCUCGUAGGCGGCUUGUCGCGUCCGGUGUGAAAGUCCAUCGCUUAACGGUGGAUCUGCGCCGGGUACGGGCAGGCUAGAAUGCGGUAGGGGAGACUGGAAUUCCCGGUGUAACGGUGGAAUGUGUAGAUAUCGGGAAGAACACCAAUGGCGAAGGCAGGUCUCUGGGCCGUUAUUGACGCUGAGGAGCGAAAGCGUGGGGAG
This 245-nucleotide ribosomal RNA is filed under the name uncultured Bifidobacterium sp. Its description in RNAcentral is "partial 16S ribosomal RNA". It matches the Rfam family "Bacterial small subunit ribosomal RNA", at positions 524 to 768 of the family's 1533-position model. The record is from RNAcentral. Lineage: Bacteria; Bacillati; Actinomycetota; Actinomycetes; Bifidobacteriales; Bifidobacteriaceae.